RNAcentral lists this ribosomal RNA (253 nucleotides) under uncultured bacterium. Its description in RNAcentral is "partial 16S ribosomal RNA". It matches the Rfam family "Bacterial small subunit ribosomal RNA", at positions 524 to 776 of the family's 1533-position model. The record is from RNAcentral. RNAcentral also lists the same sequence under 1 other name.
UACGGAGGGUGCAAGCAUUAAUCGGAUUUAUUGGGCGUAAAGGGCGCGUAGGCGGAGAUAAAAGUCAGAUGUGAAAUCCCGAGGCUCAACCUCGGAACUGCAUUUGAAACUUUAUCCCUAGAGGGUAGGCGGAGAAAACGGAAUUCCACAAGUAGCGGUGAAAUGCGUAGAUAUGUGGAAGAACACCGGUGGCGAAGGCGGUUUUCUAGCUUAUUCCUGACGCUAAAGCGCGAAAGCAAGGGGAUCAAACAGG